GGUACUAUGGCCGAGUGGUCUAAGGCGCUGGAAUUAGGUGAAAACCUUACCAAUCCAGUCCGCAAGGGCGUGGGUUCGAACCCCACUGGUAUCA
Non-coding RNA from Roridomyces roridus, 94 nucleotides. NCBI's taxonomy places the organism in Eukaryota, Fungi, Basidiomycota, Agaricomycetes, Agaricales, Mycenaceae. The record is from the annotation of a GenBank genome assembly.